GACGAACGCUGGCGGCGUGCUUAACACAUGCAAGUCGAACGGAAAGGCCUGCUUUCCCUUGUGGAUUGCGGGUACUCGAGUGGCGAACGGGUGAGUAACACGUGAGUGAUCUGCCCCCAACUUGGGUAUAAGCCUGGGAAACUGGGUCUAAUUCCCGAUAGGACUGCAGGGUGGUGACUGUGGUGGAAAACGAUCUUCUAGUGGUUGGGGAUGAGCUCGCGGCCUAUCAGCUUGUUGGUGGGGUAAUGGACUACCACGGCGGCGACGGGUAGCCGGCCUGAGAGGGUGGACGGUCGCAUUGGGACUGGGAUACGGCCCCGACUCCUGCGGGAGGCAGCAGUGGGGAAUAUUGCACAGUGGGCGGGAGCCUGAUGCAGCGACGCCGCGUGGGGGAUGUCGGCCUUCGGGUUGUAAGCUCCUUUCGACCGCGAGGAAGCCACCUGGUUGGAAGGGUGGUGACGGUAGUGGUAGAAGAAGCACCGGCUAACUACGUG
Molecule: ribosomal RNA, 494 nt
Filed under: uncultured bacterium
Lineage: Bacteria
Description: partial 16S ribosomal RNA
Rfam family: Bacterial small subunit ribosomal RNA
Source: RNAcentral